AUGAUUGAAAUGCAAAGACGUGGUAAGUGUUAUGUUAUAAAGUCUAUAUGAUUUCAUGAUGAUGAUAAUGUUAUUGCUUUCAUAUGUUGUUUUCAUGGAUCUCGGUAGUUAAGUGGACAGUAAAGGUUUUUAUGUUAAUAAACGAGUUUGUUAUAAAUUAUGCUCCAUUUGUCAUUUUUGUUUUCUACCCACCUUUACUUCCGUGGCGGUGAGAUAGUGUGAUGUCUUUACUGGACUGGUGUAACUCAUUCCUUAUUUAACCAU
This 264-nucleotide long non-coding RNA is filed under the name Carica papaya (papaya). RNAcentral's name for it is "long non-coding RNA (CPAP_LNC011801)". Lineage: Eukaryota; Viridiplantae; Streptophyta; Magnoliopsida; Brassicales; Caricaceae. The record is from RNAcentral.